This 375-nucleotide ribosomal RNA is filed under the name uncultured bacterium. RNAcentral's name for it is "bacterial SSU rRNA". It matches the Rfam family "Bacterial small subunit ribosomal RNA", at positions 523 to 898 of the family's 1533-position model. The record is from RNAcentral.
AUACGUAGGUGGCGAGCGUUGUCCGGAAUUACUGGGCGUAAAGGGUGCGUAGGCGGAUAAUCAAGUCAGAUGUGAAAGUCCAUGGCUUAACUGUGGGAGUGCAUUUGAGACUGAAGAUCUAGAGUGCAGGAGAGGGAAGCGGAAUUCCUAGUGUAGCGGUGAAAUGCGUAGAUAUUAGGAAGAACACCAGUGGCGAAGGCGGCUUUCUGGACUGUAACUGACGCUGAAGCACGAAAGCGUGGGGAGCAAACAGGAUUAGAUACCCUGGUAGUCCACGCCGUAAACGAUGAGUAUUAGGUGUAGGGGACGAUAGUCUCCUGUGCCGGAGCAAACGCAAUAAAUACUCCGCCUGGGGAGUACGGUCACAAGACUAAA